ACGGAAGGCAGCAGUGGGGAAUAUUGGACAAUGGAGGAAACUCUGAUCCAGCGACGCCGCGUGAGUGAAGAAGUAUUUCGGUAUGUAAAGCUCUAUCAGCAGGGAAGAAAAAUUCAAAAUUGACUGUACCUGACUAAGAAGCCCCGGCUAACUACGUGCCAGCAGCCGCGGUAAUACGUAGGGGGCAAGCGUUAUCCGGAAUUACUGGGUGUAAAGGGAGUGUAGGCGGUUUGGCAAGUCAGAUGUGAAAACCCUGGGCUUAACCUAGGGACUGCAUUUGAAACUGUCAGACUAGAGUGUCGGAGGGGUAAGUGGAAUUCCUAGUGUAGCGGUGAAAUGCGUAGAUAUUAGGAAGAACACCGGUGGCGAAGGCGACUUACUGGACGACAACUGACGCUGAGGCUCGAAAGCGUGGGGAGCAAACAGGAUUAGAUACCCUGGUA
RNAcentral lists this ribosomal RNA (443 nucleotides) under uncultured Lachnospiraceae bacterium. Its description in RNAcentral is "partial 16S ribosomal RNA". It matches the Rfam family "Bacterial small subunit ribosomal RNA", at positions 341 to 792 of the family's 1533-position model. Lineage: Bacteria; Bacillati; Bacillota; Clostridia; Lachnospirales; Lachnospiraceae. The record is from RNAcentral.